RNAcentral lists this ribosomal RNA (485 nucleotides) under uncultured bacterium. RNAcentral describes it as "bacterial SSU rRNA". It matches the Rfam family "Bacterial small subunit ribosomal RNA", at positions 1045 to 1529 of the family's 1533-position model. The record is from RNAcentral.
AUGGUUGUCGUCAGCUCGUGUCGUGAGAUGUUGGGUUAAGUCCCGCAACGAGCGCAACCCUUAUUCUUAGUAGCCAGCAGGUAAAGCUGGGCACUCUAGGGAGACUGCCAGGGAUAACCUGGAGGAAGGUGGGGAUGACGUCAAAUCAUCAUGCCCCUUAUGAUUUGGGCUGCACACGUGCUACAAUGGCGUAAACAAAGGGAGGCGAAGCCGCGAGGUAGAGCGAACCCCAAAAAUAACGUCUCAGUUCGGAUUGCAGGCUGCAACUCGCCUGCAUGAAGCCGGAAUCGCUAGUAAUCGCAGAUCAGCAUGCUGCGGUGAAUACGUUCCCGGGUCUUGUACACACCGCCCGUCACACCAUGGGAGUCGAUAACGCCCGAAGUCAGUGACCCAACCGUAAGGAGGGAGCUGCCGAAGGCGGGAUUGAUAACUGGGGUGAAGUCGUAACAAGGUAGCCGUAUCGGAAGGUGCGGCUGGAUCACCUC